RNAcentral lists this unclassified non-coding RNA (336 nucleotides) under Hevea brasiliensis (rubber tree). The record is from RNAcentral. Lineage: Eukaryota; Viridiplantae; Streptophyta; Magnoliopsida; Malpighiales; Euphorbiaceae.
GAGGUUUACAAGCUUGUGCAAUCUGUAAAAAAUGGGAAGGGAACACAGAAGAAGUAAAAUUAACAUUACACUUAGAAUUCCUUAGGCAUCACACUUAAGAUUGAAUUGUAUCACUUAAUCCAAGAGCAACAAUUUUAGAAUUUAUUAACACUGGAAACUGUGUAAUACGCAUUAAAAGCAUUGAUAUUUGUGGACUCAAAUUAAUAUAUUAGACAACUAAAAUUACUCCCAAAUAAAACUAAAUGAUUAAUGCCAUGAUGCCAUCCUAAACCAAUAAUGAGUAUAAAAAAAGUUGAUCCUAAAAUUCUUGCCAGCCUAUUUGGCCAAGCAGGAAAU